This 1296-nucleotide long non-coding RNA is filed under the name Cicer arietinum (chickpea). RNAcentral's name for it is "long non-coding RNA (CARI_LNC000917)". Lineage: Eukaryota; Viridiplantae; Streptophyta; Magnoliopsida; Fabales; Fabaceae. The record is from RNAcentral.
UCUUAGGGGCAUCAAGUCUCAAGAACAUUAUCCACAUUUAAGACUAAAAGUACAAAAUUCAUAAUGAUUAUUGAUUUCAUUUCUGGUCAAUAACUUCCAAUUAUACCAUCAAAAAUUUUGAAAGGGCCAUUAUGUCUCAAGAACACCAUCCAAAUUUUACUAUCAAUACAAAAUUCAGUUAGUGAUUUAAUUUAGGGUCAACAACCCUUAAGUAUACCAUUAUGAUUUUUGGAAGGACCGUCAAGUCUCACAAACAUCAUCCACAUUUCACGAUAUGAACACAAAGUUCAUAUAGCAAUUAUAUUUAGGGUAAAUAACCGCCAAUUAUAUCAUCUUGAUUUUUGAAAGGGAUGUCAAGUCUUAGAACAUUGUCCACAUUUCACACUAUGAGUGCAAAAUUCAUAGUGAUUUCAUUUAGGGUCAAUAACUACCGAUUUUAGCAUCUCAAAGUUUGAAAGAAUCGUUAAUUCUCAUGAACAUUGUUCAGUUUACAUUGUCAAUACAAAAUUGACAUAGUGAUUUCAUUUAGGGUCAACAACCAUCAAGUAUACAAUACCAUCCUGAUUUUCGAAAUGGACGUCAAGUCUCAAGGACAUGAUCCACAUUUCACGCUAUGAACACAAAGUUCAUAUAGCAUUUAGGGUAAAUAACCUUCGAUUUUACCAUCUCGAUUUUUGAAAGGGACAUCAAUUCUAAAAAACAUUGUCCACAUUUCACACUGUAAGUGCAAAUUUGUAGAGAUUUCGUUUAGAGUCAAUAACAACCAAUUUUACCAUCUUAAUUUUUGAAAUGGUCGUUAAGUCUAAAGAAUAUUCACAGUUGUCAAUACAAAAUUGACAUAGUGAUUUCAUUUAGGGUCAACAACCAUCAAGUAUACAAUACCAUCCUGAUUUUCGAAAUGGAUGUCAAGUCUCAAGGACAUGAUCCACACUUCACGCUAUGAACACAAAGUUCAUAUAGCAUUUAGGGUAAAUAACCUUCGAUUUUACCAUCUCGAUUUUUGAAAGGGACGUCAAUUCUAAAAAACAUUGUCCACAUUUCACACUGUAAGUGCAAAUUUGUAGAGAUUUCGUUUAGGGUCAAUAACAACCAAUUUUACCAUCUUAAUUUUUGAAAUGGUCGUUAAGUCUAAAGAAUAUUCAACAUUUCACGAUAUGAACACAAAGUUCAUAUAGCAAUUAUAUUUAGGGUAAAUAACCGCCAAUUAUAUCAUCUUGAUUUUUGAAAGGGAUGUCAAGUCUUAGAACAUUGUCCACAUUUCACACUAUGAGUGCAAAAUUCAUAGUGAUUUCAUUU